RNAcentral lists this transfer RNA (57 nucleotides) under Ovis aries (sheep). It matches the Rfam family "tRNA", at positions 8 to 63 of the family's 71-position model. From Rfam's summary of the family: Transfer RNA (tRNA) molecules are approximately 80 nucleotides in length. The record is from Rfam by way of RNAcentral. Lineage: Eukaryota; Metazoa; Chordata; Mammalia; Artiodactyla; Bovidae.
UGGCUCAGACGGUAAAGCGUCUGCUUCCAAUGCAGAAGACCCAGGUUCGAUCCCUGG